RNAcentral lists this ribosomal RNA (253 nucleotides) under uncultured bacterium. RNAcentral describes it as "partial 16S ribosomal RNA". It matches the Rfam family "Bacterial small subunit ribosomal RNA", at positions 524 to 776 of the family's 1533-position model. The record is from RNAcentral.
UACAGAGGUCUCAAGCGUUGUUCGGAUUCAUUGGGCGUAAAGGGUGUGUAGGUGGCGCCGUAAGUCGGGUGUGAAAUUUCGGAGCUUAACUCCGAAACUGCAUUCGAUACUGCGGUGCUUGAGGACUGGAGAGGAGACUGGAAUUCAUGGUGUAGCAGUGAAAUGCGUAGAGAUCAUGAGGAAGACCAGUGGCGAAGGCGGGUCUCUGGACAGUUCCUGAAGCUGAGGCACGAAGGCCAGGGGAGCAAACGGG